Long non-coding RNA from Pogona vitticeps (central bearded dragon), 358 nucleotides. RefSeq lists it as uncharacterized. Lineage: Eukaryota; Metazoa; Chordata; Lepidosauria; Squamata; Agamidae. The record is from RefSeq and is a predicted model, not a curated record.
UCAUCGCUGAACCCGGAAGUUCGCCCGCUACAAAAAGGAGAUACUUCUCUUUCCUUUUUUCCUACGCUCUAUGGUUUCUUGGUGUUUGCUUUUUUUUUAAACUCUCCGCCCUUAGUCUUUUUGUCCCUCGGGCCUUCCCGUCGGUGCGCAUGCGUUCCCUUGAUCCAGCUCGGCUUAUAUAAGCCUGGGACGCGGAGUCCGUCGGCCAUUUGGCGCGCGGAGGGUAAGGCCCACGCUGUGUGCUGUUGCAAGCCAGUCGUAUCUGAGAACAAUAAGUGUGAGUUUCUACACAUUUAAAUUGGAGAAUGUCACAAAGUUUGCCCUCGUGGAAUAAAAAGAUAAAGGUUUGCCAUGUAAA